Molecule: ribosomal RNA, 389 nt
Filed under: uncultured bacterium
Lineage: Bacteria
Description: bacterial SSU rRNA
Rfam family: Bacterial small subunit ribosomal RNA
Source: RNAcentral
GACGAACGCUGGCGGCGUGCUUAACACACGCAAGUCGAGCGGUAAGCCCUUCGGGGUACGACGAGCGGCGAACGGGUGAGUAACACGUGGGUGACCUGCCCUCAGCUCUGGGAUAAGCCUGGGAAACCGGGUACUAAUACCGGAUAUGACUCCAUGACGCAUGUUGUGGGGUGGAAAGCCUUGUGCGGCUGAGGAUGGGCCCGCGGCCUAUCAGCUUGUUGGUGGGGUGAUGGCCUACCAAGGCGACGACGGGUAGCCGGCCUGAGAGGGCGACCGGCCACACUGGGACUGAGACACGGCCCAGACUCCUACGGGAGGCAGCAGUGGGGAAUCUUGCGCAAUGGGCGAAAGCCUGACGCAGCGACGCCGCGUGAGGGAUGACGGCCUGG